UGGCGAACGGGUGAGUAACGCCCCGGAACGUGCCUUGUAGUGGGGGAUAGACUGGCGAAAGUCAGAGUAAUACCGCAUGAAGCCACGCAGCAUGCGCGGUGAAAGUGGGGGAUUCUAGCCUCACGCUACUGGAUCGGCCGGGGUCUGAUUAGCUAGUUGGCGGGAUAAUAGCCCACCAAGGCUGAGAUCAGUAGCUGGUCUGAGAGGACGGUCAGCCACACUGGAACUGAGACACGGUCCAG
RNAcentral lists this ribosomal RNA (242 nucleotides) under uncultured bacterium. RNAcentral describes it as "partial 16S ribosomal RNA". It matches the Rfam family "Bacterial small subunit ribosomal RNA", at positions 96 to 334 of the family's 1533-position model. The record is from RNAcentral.